CAGUGGCGGCUCACUUGACUUCAAUUUUGCGAGUGGAAGCUGGUUUUUGACCGCAGUGUUUGACUGGUGAGCCAUUUAAUCUGGACGCCAGGUGAAUUGCCAUACCGCAGCCUCCACAUCACGCUAAAAGAAUGAAUUCACUGUCAUCACAGUAAAAUAUCCGAUUCACGGCAGGCCAAGAAUUCCUCGCUCCGGCGAUUGACCAAGGAGAGUUCACGGCAAAAUAAUGCAAUCAAGAAAGUUGCCAGUCACGUUAAAAUAAAUCCAUAUUGAUAAGCGGUUCAGAAAAUGGAUGGAUGGACGGAUAGAUGAUUGGAAGAACACCCUGGUUUCUGCCGUUCGACAUAGUAUGGCGAGGGAUCCUGGAGGUUAAAGUUGAUUUGCUGCGUUUCCGUGAGUGCAUAAACAGAGCGUAUCGACGCUGAUUCUCAUUGAACGGGAUCCAAACGAAUUUGAGCGCACACUCGUGCGAGCUGGUGGCGCACUCCAUUUGUGCUUGUGAGCUGAGGAGAAGCUAAGUGGCUUGUACGACCACUGAAGUCUGACAGCCUGGUGCACCGCAACAUGGAUUAGAAGCCCCACACCUCAAGAGAUCAAAGGUGGCUGUGACAGGGACACCCCCGGGGCAGGACCCAUGAGGAGUCAUAGAAGAUGCUCACAACCUGGGCACUUCUGCUCUUCUUAGCCAUGUGGGUGACAAGCACCUCUGGUGGCCCGCUCUCCUUCAGAAUAGCUGCCAUCCUAGAUGACCCAAUGGAGUGCAGCAGAGGAGAGCGCCUGGCCAUCACGCUGGCCAAAGACAGCAUCAACAGAAGCAGCAAUCGCUCCAUCACCGGAAAGCUGGAGGUGGACAUCUUUGAGCUGCUCAGAGACAGUGAAUAUGAGAUGGGAGAAACAAGUGAGUAAAGGUCUUUGAAUUG
Hippocampus comes (tiger tail seahorse) is the source of this 920-nucleotide long non-coding RNA. RefSeq lists it as uncharacterized. Lineage: Eukaryota; Metazoa; Chordata; Actinopteri; Syngnathiformes; Syngnathidae. The record is from RefSeq and is a predicted model, not a curated record. The transcript is spliced from 4 exons.